RNAcentral lists this ribosomal RNA (429 nucleotides) under Chloroflexota bacterium. Its description in RNAcentral is "Chloroflexi bacterium partial 16S ribosomal RNA". It matches the Rfam family "Bacterial small subunit ribosomal RNA", at positions 355 to 776 of the family's 1533-position model. Lineage: Bacteria; Bacillati; Chloroflexota. The record is from RNAcentral.
UGGGGAAUAUUGCACAAUGGGCGCAAGCCUGAUGCAGCCAUGCCGCGUGUAUGAAGAAGGCCUUCGGGUUGUAAAGUACUUUCAGUCGGGAGGAAGGUGGUAAGGUUAAUAACCUUGGCAAUUGACGUUACCGACAGAAGAAGCACCGGCUAACUCCGUGCCAGCAGCCGCGGUAAUACGGAGGGUGCAAGCGUUAAUCGGAAUUACUGGGCGUAAAGCGCACGCAGGCGGUUGAUUGAGUCAGAUGUGAAAUCCCCGGGCUUAACCCGGGAAUUGCAUCUGAUACUGGUCAGCUAGAGUCUUGUAGAGGGGGGUAGAAUUCCAGGUGUAGCGGUGAAAUGCGUAGAGAUCUGGAGGAAUACCGGUGGCGAAGGCGGCCCCCUGGACGAAGACUGACGCUCAGGUGCGAAAGCGUGGGGAGCAAACAGG